Molecule: long non-coding RNA, 851 nt
Organism: Drosophila montana
Lineage: Eukaryota; Metazoa; Arthropoda; Insecta; Diptera; Drosophilidae
Exons: 3
Source: RefSeq, a predicted model, not a curated record
UUUAAAAUGUACGCUCAACCAAAAAUUGAAGUCCAGCAUUGGUUUAAAGAGUUGUCAAUGCCUUUUCAGCAGAGCGUGCUCCACUUGUGGCAUUCAUACAAAGACAUUUAAAGCAAUUACGCCCCGGGGUAUUAUUCAACUGCAACUUGCUGACAGACACACAUUUCGCUAUGGCUUCGGCAAAAAGCAAAAGUGAAGCGAAUUUCAGUUGCAGGCUGGCUGUCAGGCAGGGAGGAUGGCGAGGAACUGGAGCUGAAUCUCACUGCGACUGAGUCAGCAGAAUAAGCACGAGGCAUGCCGCAGAAGCACCAAACUGUUCGAUUUUAUUGACUGUCGCGUUACGCUCCUGACACUCCUUGAAGCCCUGUGUACUGGGCCCUGUCAUUGUGUGAAAAUGUUAUUUGCUAACUGAGAGUCAUCAGCGGCGAGGCAGCUGAGUAGAACUCAUCUACAACGGCAACUGUAUGAAGGUGGCGGUCGCAUAAUAAUAAAAAUUAUUGUUACUAGCGGCAAAAUCCACACCCAGCGGCAAUUGAAAUGCGCAGCCAAGCGGAACUUGCUCAAGUGAAUGCAAUGAAAAUAUCUAAAGCCAAGCAAAAUGCUUGUGGCUCUACGCCGUAAUCAAGAUUUUGCUGCCACACUGCAAAAGCUGUCGCCAAGGAUAUCGAGCAGCGUCGGAAGCGGUGGGGUAAAUUGGCAACGCUCUGCAACACAUUGGCUCUGAAUUGUGCGGGGCGUGCGAUGCAAGUGAGUUUUAUUUAUAUGGCAUAUCGAUUUGUUGCACAUAAAUGUAUGAACAUCAAUCGAGCUUUUCAAUACUGAUGUGCAUUAUUUUCACUGUUUUUUCCAAA